UACGACUACAUAUCAGGCAUAUCAAUAAGCGGAGGAAAAGAAACUAACAAGGAUUCCCUUAGUAACGGCGAGUGAAGGCGGGAAGAGCUCAAAUUUGAAAUCUUCAAGGUUUUACCUUGACGAAUUGUAGUUUAAAGAAGUGUUUUCUGUUGAAGUUUCGGUAAAAGUUCUUUGGAAUAGGACAUCAUAGAGGGUGAGAAUCCCGUAUUUGACCAUUAUUUUCAGCUGUGUGAUACACUUUCAAAGAGUCGGAUUGUUUGGGAAUGCAGUCCAAAAUGGGUGGUAAAUUUCAUCUAAAGCUAAAUAUUGGCGAGAGACCGAUAGCGAACAAGUACCGUGAGGGAAAGAUGAAAAGAACUUUGAAAAGAGAGUUAAACAGUACGUGAAAUUGUCAAAAGGGAAGCGUUUGACACCAGUGUUGUUUUCUCGAAAAUCAAUUAAAAAAAGUUGGAUUUUGUGUUGUAUUGACCUUAACAGCUUGCUUCACUCUUUUCCAGCUUUUUUUAAUGCACUUUUCGUUUAACAAGUCAACAUCAGUUUCUUUUGUUGUAAAAGGGUCAUUGGAAGGUGGCUUUCUCUUCGGAGAAAGUGUUUAUAGCCUUUGAUCUCUGCAAUCGGAGAGACUGAGGUCUGCAGCGUAGAUCCUUCGGGGUUAGAUACAUUUGUGCUAAGCUACAGCUUUUCAUAGACAACUUGUUGACUAUGUUUAGUCUUGUGACUUACCCGCUUAUGCUAUUUUACCUACGCUUAGGAUGUUGAGCGCAUGUCUCUCUCU
This 775-nucleotide ribosomal RNA is filed under the name uncultured Neocallimastigales. RNAcentral describes it as "partial large subunit ribosomal RNA". It matches the Rfam family "Eukaryotic large subunit ribosomal RNA", at positions 24 to 616 of the family's 3401-position model. Lineage: Eukaryota; Fungi; Neocallimastigomycota; Neocallimastigomycetes; Neocallimastigales. The record is from RNAcentral.